GAAAUGCGAUACGUAGUGUGAAUUGCAGAAUUCCGUGAACCAUCGAAUCUUUGAACGCAAAUUGCGCCCAAGGCUUCGGCCGAGGGCAUGUCUGCCUCAGCGUCGGCACACCCCCUCGUCCCCCACCUCGGUGUUGGACGGACCUGGCCUUCUCGGCUUGCUCCUCUUCGGAGAGCUUGCCGGGUGGGCUGAAGCGAAGAGGCUUGAGCAGCGACCCCGAUUGUAGGGCGACGGCUUGGUAGGUAGGUUUCCUACACAUCCACCGCCGCCGCCCAAGGGGCUCCUGCUGGGAGCCAUUUGGCUGGGUUACACCGCCACUCUUUAAUUUUCGACCUGAGCUCAGGCAAGGCUACCCGCUGAACUUAA
This 366-nucleotide unclassified non-coding RNA is filed under the name uncultured fungus. RNAcentral describes it as "sequence contains ITS1". The stretch from base 1 to 105 matches the Rfam family "5.8S ribosomal RNA", at positions 50 to 154 of the family's 154-position model. Lineage: Eukaryota; Fungi. The record is from RNAcentral.